This 132-nucleotide microRNA precursor is filed under the name Podarcis lilfordi (Lilford's wall lizard). The record is from RNAcentral. Lineage: Eukaryota; Metazoa; Chordata; Lepidosauria; Squamata; Lacertidae.
AUAUGUUUAGGAGACCCCCUAAUCCCCUCAGAGAGCUACAAUUCAGAAUGUUUUUGACCAUCAAAAACUUCUUUGCAGGUUAAUCUGGAAAUUGUAGCUCUCUGAGGGGAUUAGGGGGUCUCCUAAUCAUUC